This 244-nucleotide ribosomal RNA is filed under the name uncultured bacterium. RNAcentral's name for it is "partial 16S ribosomal RNA". It matches the Rfam family "Bacterial small subunit ribosomal RNA", at positions 533 to 776 of the family's 1533-position model. The record is from RNAcentral.
GGCGAGCGUUGUUCGGAAUUACUGGGCGUAAAGGGCGCGUAGGCGGUCCUUCAAGUCAGGCGUGAAAGCCCCGGGCUCAACCUGGGAACCGCGCUUGAGACUGGCGGACUCGAGUUCGGGAGAGGAUGGUGGAAUUCCCAGUGUAGAGGUGAAAUUCGUAGAUAUUGGGAAGAACCCCGAUGGCGAAGGCAGCCAUCUGGACCGACACUGACGCUGAGGCGCGAAAGCGUGGGGAGCAAACAGG